CCCGCACAAGCGGUGGAGCAUGUGGUUUAAUUCGACGCUACGCGAAGAACCUUACCUGGGCUUGAACUGCUGGUGGUAGAAGCCCGAAAGGGUAACGACCCGGAGCAAUCCGGGAGCCAGUAGAGGUGCUGCAUGGCUGUCGUCAGCUCGUGUCGUGAGAUGUUGGGUUAAGUCCGCUAACGAGCGCAACCCUCGCUGUGUGUUAUAUGUGUCACACGGGACUGCCGGUCUUAAGCCGGAGGAAGGUGGGGAUGAUGUCAAGUCAGCAUGGCCUUUAUAUCCUGGGCUACACACACGCUACAAUGGCCAGCACAGUAGGUUGCUAAGCCGCGAGGUGGAGCCAAUCCAUAAAGCUGGUCUCAGUUCAGAUUGCAGGCUGCAACCCGCCUGCAUGAAGAUGGAGUUGCUAGUAACCGCAGGUCAGCUAUACUGCGGUGAAUACGUUCCCGGGGCUU
This 455-nucleotide ribosomal RNA is filed under the name uncultured Leptolinea sp. RNAcentral describes it as "bacterial SSU rRNA". It matches the Rfam family "Bacterial small subunit ribosomal RNA", at positions 920 to 1382 of the family's 1533-position model. Lineage: Bacteria; Bacillati; Chloroflexota; Anaerolineae; Anaerolineales; Anaerolineaceae. The record is from RNAcentral.